GGCCUCGUGGCUCAGCUGGUAGAGCGUGCACGUGCAGAGCGUGGGUGGCGUCCAUGCGUGGGUUCGAAUCCCACCGAGGCUA
This 82-nucleotide transfer RNA is filed under the name Echinostoma caproni. It matches the Rfam family "tRNA". From Rfam's summary of the family: Transfer RNA (tRNA) molecules are approximately 80 nucleotides in length. Their secondary structure includes four short double-helical elements and three loops (D, anti-codon, and T loops). The record is from Rfam by way of RNAcentral. Lineage: Eukaryota; Metazoa; Platyhelminthes; Trematoda; Plagiorchiida; Echinostomatidae.